RNAcentral lists this ribosomal RNA (253 nucleotides) under uncultured bacterium. RNAcentral describes it as "partial 16S ribosomal RNA". It matches the Rfam family "Bacterial small subunit ribosomal RNA", at positions 524 to 776 of the family's 1533-position model. The record is from RNAcentral.
GACGAACCGUCCUAACGUUGUUCGGAAUUACUGGGCGUAAAGGGCGCGUAGGCGGCCUGUUAAGUCGAACGUGAAAUCCCCGGGCUCAACCCGGGAACUGCGUCCGAUACUGGCAGGCUUGAAUCCGGGAGAGGGAUGCGGAAUUCCAGGUGUAGCGGUGAAAUGCGUAGAUAUCUGGAGGAACACCGGUGGCGAAGGCGGCAUCCUGGACCGGCAUUGACGCUGAGGCGCGAAAGCCAGGGGAGCAAACGGG